AGGGCCUCCGACACACAAAAGAAACCUAAAUUCUUCGAUGCAAUUGAAAAAUUCUAGGUUCGAAUAAUCAUUCGUACAAGCCACCGUACGUGAGUGAUUCUUUAUCAACAAUACAAAAUCCCAGCAAGUUUCAAGAAACAAAAAAGAACGAUGCAUUAACUGAUCAAGAAACCUCGAAAACAGGAAAGGGUGAGAAACAAGGAACAUCAAAGCAAACGGAUGAAGAUAGUACUUCUCGUAUUUCAGAUGAUGAUAUUUACUGCGACAGCCUGGAUGAGAAAUCAUCAAAUGAUGGAAAACCAAGAAAAAAUAUAAGAAAACCUAGCAAAGCUACAAAAGCAGAUAAAGUCUUGGAAGUUUUCAAAGACAUGAGAAAUCACAGCAAUCAACGUCAUCUUGAAGAAAAACUUGAAAGGCAAAAUAGACACAAAGAGCGAAUGGAGAAAAGUCAACAAAUGAUGGAUGUCAUGAAAAGCUUGAUUUCAAUUGCGUCAAAAAAGAAAAAGAAAACAAGGAAGUCGUCUAAAAAUAAGUCUCCAAAGAAGCGGAGAAAUUCAAGUCCAUCUCGGGAAAAUAUUGGAUCCAAAAAGAGGAGCCGAUCUCCUUCUUCGUCGAAAGAAUCAACAUCGUCUAGUGAUGAACAUACCUUUUCAUCGUUUUAGGACCAAACUGAUCAUAUUCAGAAGCUUCGUUGAUAAUUAUACUUCUUUUGAUUAUUUAUUGACGCAUGGUUUCUCUUCAUCGAUAUCAAUUUUAUUGUAACUCGGAGUUCCUCUGUUAACGUGGAUGUUGUUUUGUGAUGUUACCGUGUUUGUAUGAUAAAAAUUGUA
Daphnia magna is the source of this 830-nucleotide RNA transcript. RefSeq lists it as uncharacterized. NCBI's taxonomy places the organism in Eukaryota, Metazoa, Arthropoda, Branchiopoda, Diplostraca, Daphniidae. The transcript is spliced from 4 exons. The record is from RefSeq and is a predicted model, not a curated record.